This 473-nucleotide ribosomal RNA is filed under the name uncultured bacterium. Its description in RNAcentral is "SSU rRNA". It matches the Rfam family "Bacterial small subunit ribosomal RNA", at positions 26 to 518 of the family's 1533-position model. The record is from RNAcentral.
AGAACGAACGCUGGCGGCAGGCUUAACACAUGCAAGUCGAACGGAUGUAGCAAUACAUCAGUGGCAGACGGGUGAGUAACACGUGGGAACCUUCCUCGUUGUACGGAACAACUCAGGGAAACUUGAGCUAAUACCGUAUACGUCCGAGAGGAGAAAGAUUUAUCGCAAUGAGACGGGCCCGCGUCGGAUUAGCUAGUUGGUGGGGUAACGGCCUACCAAGGCGACGAUCCGUAGCUGAUCUGAGAGGAUGAUCAGCCACACUGGGACUGAGACACGGCCCAGACUCCUACGGGAGGCAGCAGUGGGGAAUCUUGGACAAUGGGCGCAAGCGUGACGCAGCAACGCCGCGUGGGGGAAGACGGCCUUCGGGUUGUAAACCCCGUUUCAGGAGGGACGAAGGCCGAGCGGUUAAUAGCCGACUCGGUUGACGGUACCUCCACAAGAAGCCCGGCUAACUACGUGCCAGCAGCCGC